CAGCAGCCGCGGGAAUACAGAGGGUGCGAGCGUUAAUCGGAUUUACUGGGCGUAAAGCGUGCGUAGGCGGCUUCUUAAGUCGGAUGUGAAAUCCCUGAGCUUAACUUAGGAAUUGCAUUCGAUACUGGGAAGCUAGAGUAUGGGAGAGGAUGGUAGAAUUCCAGGUGUAGCGGUGAAAUGCGUAGAGAUCUGGAGGAAUACCGAUGGCGAAGGCAGCCAUCUGACCUAAUACUGACGCUGAGGUACGAAAGCAUGGGGAGCAAACAGGAUUAGAUACCCCCGUAGUCCCUGUCUCUUAUAC
Molecule: ribosomal RNA, 301 nt
Filed under: uncultured bacterium
Lineage: Bacteria
Description: partial 16S ribosomal RNA
Rfam family: Bacterial small subunit ribosomal RNA
Source: RNAcentral